UGUUCCUCCCUAAGCUAUGAUAUUGAGGGAGGAAUCCUGAAGGAGAAUUCUAUUCUGUUUCCUUGAAGAAGGCAAUUCGUUUUGGGAGAGGGGAGAGAGUUGCCAAUGCAGGGGAGGUGAUAAGACUUCAUUGGAAUCUUGCUAGUGCCCAUCAGUGCCAUUUUUCUGGUUCAAGAUCCAUUUCAGGCAAUCUGGCAAGAUGGCCGAAUAGGAACAGCUCCAGUCUGCAGCUCCCAGCGAGACCAAUGCAGAAGGCGGGUGAUUUCUGCAUUUCCAACUGAGUUUUGAAGAGUGCUGGGAAUAUUGUAGGUUGUUCUUCUAUUGGAAUUCGUCUGGUGUUUCCCUCAUUAUUAGUCUGAUGAUAAGGGAUUUUGGAGGAAUAUCACAGAGGUAAAGUGCGAUUUUCAUGAUAUCACAUAUCGAAGGUACAUACAAUCAAUAUGAUUUAUGACUGUUGAUGCUGACCUUGAUCACCUGGCAGAAAUAGGGUUUGUCACAUUUCUUCACUUUGAAGUUAA
This 518-nucleotide long non-coding RNA is filed under the name Papio anubis (olive baboon). RNAcentral describes it as "lncRNA (ENSPANG00000043478.1)". Lineage: Eukaryota; Metazoa; Chordata; Mammalia; Primates; Cercopithecidae. The record is from RNAcentral.